Molecule: long non-coding RNA, 252 nt
Filed under: Lathyrus oleraceus (garden pea)
Lineage: Eukaryota; Viridiplantae; Streptophyta; Magnoliopsida; Fabales; Fabaceae
Description: Pisum sativum (pea) long non-coding RNA (PSAT_LNC017135)
Source: RNAcentral
UUUGAGCCCACAGGUCCACAAAAACCAGGUUAUAAAUUCAGAGUUUCAGUGAAACAAAAGGAGAUUCCAUUCCUAUUCCCCUGGCAGGAAAAAGAAAGUGAGAGAAGAGCUAACAUAGUUCAGAGAAACCUCCAGAGGCUGAAGGGAACUCAUCGGCAAAGAACCAAUUCCCUCUCAUAUAAACCCUCAGAUUGCUCUACAAACCCAACGAUGCAAUUUAAUUUCAUUCGAUCUCUCCAAUCAGGUUUGCCC